RNAcentral lists this ribosomal RNA (253 nucleotides) under uncultured bacterium. RNAcentral describes it as "partial 16S ribosomal RNA". It matches the Rfam family "Bacterial small subunit ribosomal RNA", at positions 524 to 776 of the family's 1533-position model. The record is from RNAcentral.
UACAGAGGUCUCAAGCGUUGUUCGGAUUCAUUGGGCGUAAAGGGUGCGUAGGUGGCGCCAUAAGUCAGGUGUGAAAUCUCGGGGCUCAACCUCGAAACUGCACUUGAUACUGCCGUGCUUGAGGACUGGAGAGGAGACUGGAAUUUACGGUGUAGCGGUGAAAUGCGUAGAUAUCGUAAGGAAGACCAGUGGCGAAGGCGGGUCUCUGGACAGUUCCUGACGCUGAGGCACGAAGGUCAGGGGAGCAAACGGG